AAUAAGUUAGUUUAAUUCUUAAAACAUUUAAUUUUCAUUUAAAAGAAAUUAUAUUAAUACUUAUUU
Molecule: transfer RNA, 66 nt
Filed under: Didemnum vexillum
Lineage: Eukaryota; Metazoa; Chordata; Ascidiacea; Aplousobranchia; Didemnidae
Description: tRNA-Glu
Source: RNAcentral